Vidua chalybeata is the source of this 556-nucleotide long non-coding RNA. RefSeq lists it as uncharacterized. The transcript has 2 exons. The record is from RefSeq and is a predicted model, not a curated record. NCBI's taxonomy places the organism in Eukaryota, Metazoa, Chordata, Aves, Passeriformes, Viduidae.
CUCUUGGCCACAUCUGCGUAGGCUUGCUCAAUUUCUUUGUCUGCUGCACAGGUGUUGGUGAACUCAUCCCUGGUGUACGCGUUCUUCAGGAGACAAGAACCAGUGAGGGGCCACACAUUCAUUUUGCAUUGUCUGACUCCAAUGUCGCCAAUGAAGACAAGCCAGAAUAAGCACUAAACCUGUGAGGAUAUUAUCACAUUUCUUACCUGGUGACUUAUGUGCUUUUUAAUUUUUUUUUUUUUUUCUUUUUGCAUGUGUGCAGUCAGCUCCCAGGCUCAGUUUAUGUUUUGGCUCACAGAGCCAAAUUAGAUGCAUGACUUGGCUUUAAUUCCUAGCUCAUUCACUUGCCAAGGUCUGCCAGGUACUUGCGUUAUUCUAAAGCAACAUGUCAUCUGAUAAAUUAAAUAAAUGCAACAUUUAGAAGUCAAGAUGAUGUACAUGAUUUGCACUAUACCAGCAACCAUUGUACAUCUUAAAUCCUGGACCUUGGCAAUGACUUUGAUUUGUUAACUUCUCUGUGUGAAAUACCAGAUGGAAUAAAUAUUCCCCAAAGAAA